RNAcentral lists this ribosomal RNA (292 nucleotides) under uncultured bacterium. RNAcentral's name for it is "partial 16S ribosomal RNA". It matches the Rfam family "Bacterial small subunit ribosomal RNA", at positions 505 to 796 of the family's 1533-position model. The record is from RNAcentral.
GUGCCAGCCGCCGCGGUAAUACGGAGGAUCCAAGCGUUAUCCGGAUUCAUUGGGUUUAAAGGGUCCGCAGGCGGGGUAUUAAGUCAGUGGUGAAAGCCGGCAGCUUAACUGUCGAAUUGCCAUUGAUACUGGUACUCUUGAGUGUAGUUGAAGUAGGCGGAAUAAGUCAUGUAGCGGUGAAAUGCAUAGAUAUGACUUAGAACACCGAUUGCGAAGGCAGCUUACUAAGCUAUUACUGACGCUCAUGGACGAAAGCGUGGGGAGCGAACAGGAUUAGAUACCCCGGUAGUCC